CCUACGGGAGGCAGCAGUGGGGGAUAUUGCACAAUGGGGGAAACCCUGAUGCAGCGACGCCGCGUGUGGGAAGACGGUCCUCUGGAUUGUAAACCACUGUCCCCAGGGACGAAGAUGACUGUACCUGGGGAGGAAGCUCCGGCUAACUACGUGCCAGCAGCCGCGGUAAUACGUAGGGAGCGAGCGUUGUCCGGAAUUACUGGGUGUAAAGGGAGCGUAGGCGGGGAUGCAAGUUGGGUGGAAAUACUACCGGCUCAACUGGUAGUCGCACUCAAAACUGCAGCUCUUGAGUGAAGUAGAGGCAGGUGGAAUUCCAAGUGUAGGGGUGAAAUGCGUAGAUAUUAGGAGGAACACCAGUGGCGAAGGCGGCCUGCUGGGCUUUUACUGACGCUGAGGCGCGAAAGUGUGGGGAGCAAACAGGAUUAGAUACCCCAGUAGUC
This 440-nucleotide ribosomal RNA is filed under the name uncultured bacterium. RNAcentral's name for it is "partial 16S ribosomal RNA". It matches the Rfam family "Bacterial small subunit ribosomal RNA", at positions 338 to 795 of the family's 1533-position model. The record is from RNAcentral.